RNAcentral lists this small nuclear RNA (165 nucleotides) under Echinops telfairi (small Madagascar hedgehog). RNAcentral's name for it is "U1 spliceosomal RNA (ENSETEG00000022733.1)". It matches the Rfam family "U1 spliceosomal RNA". From Rfam's summary of the family: U1 is a small nuclear RNA (snRNA) component of the spliceosome (involved in pre-mRNA splicing). Its 5' end forms complementary base pairs with the 5' splice junction, thus defining the 5' donor site of an intron. The record is from RNAcentral. Lineage: Eukaryota; Metazoa; Chordata; Mammalia; Afrosoricida; Tenrecidae.
UUAAAGAACUAGAGGGCAUACUUACCGUGAUCACAAAGGUGGUUUUCCCAGGGUGAGGCUUAUCCAUUGCACUCCAGAUGUGCUGACCCCUGUGAUUUCCCCAAAUGUGGGAAACUCGACUGCAUAAUUUGUGGUAGUGGGGGACUGUUUUCGCGCUCUCCCCUU